This is a long non-coding RNA of Pseudophryne corroboree (corroboree frog), 828 nucleotides long. RefSeq lists it as uncharacterized. The record is from RefSeq and is a predicted model, not a curated record. Lineage: Eukaryota; Metazoa; Chordata; Amphibia; Anura; Myobatrachidae. The transcript is spliced from 3 exons.
CGCACGCCUUGCUCCUCUGCGGCCGCCAUGAAGCCGCCAGAGUCCCACAGCUGCGGUCCCAAACGCAUAAGCUCUCCUGGCCCCAAAUAGAACACUAGAGAUUUUCGACAAAUAUGCCGAUAAAUUAUCUAUUCAAAUUCUCAGCGCGGCCAUAUGCUUGAUCGCUAUCUGAUGAAAGAGUCUGGACACUCAUUUGCGGCAUCAUUUGAAGGAUAUGCCUCCAGUACAUUUAUACAGAAUGAGCCCAAAGCCCACCGAUUGAAGAGCGACGGAAACCAGGAGGGAGGAGAAAAUCCACAGUGUGCACAGCACAAAGCUGCCUAUUCACUGUGCUGCUACGUGUAUGUAGUUACCUGUUCCACUGCACCUCUAGGAAAUUAGUAGCUACAAGCCAACUCAUUGCAAGUCAGAGAGAGUCUGCAGAAUACUAACAUCACAUAAGCUAACCUAAUACCUCCGCUUAUCAGUAAUAAAAGCCAUGACUAUCAAUGACACACCUCUCUAAUCAAAACAUAAUAAAUAAUUUCAGGGCCCAAGGGAAAAGUCUGGUAGCAUAUCACUGCAAUGAUGACGUUAAACUAAAUCCUCACAUGACAGAAAUAAGGAUUCAAUGAUGCCCCAUCAGCAGGGUAAUAUAUCUAGUCGUCAAAUCCCAAAAUUACAUAUGCAGAGUUUAUUUAAAGCUGUACUGCCACCAUAUGCUGAACCCGUACUGCCAUCUAAGUCCCUCCACAGCACCAUUCAGGUCCAGUUUCUAGUUUGAUAAUGCAAAGAUACUCAAAGCAAGCCUACUGCAAAGGCACUAGUAGUAACCAGCUCCAUUUGAGC